Molecule: ribosomal RNA, 274 nt
Filed under: uncultured bacterium
Lineage: Bacteria
Description: partial 16S ribosomal RNA
Rfam family: Bacterial small subunit ribosomal RNA
Source: RNAcentral
CUACGAAGGGGGCAAGCGUUGUUCGGAAUAACUGGGCGUAAAGCGCACGUAGGCGGAAUGUUAAGUUAGAGGUGAAAUCCCAGGGCUCAACCCUGGAACUGCCUUUAAUACUGGCAAUCUAGAGACCGAGAGAGGUGAGUGGAAUUCCGAGUGUAGAGGUGAAAUUCGUAGAUAUUCGGAGGAACACCAGUGGCGAAGGCGGCUCACUGGCUCGGUACUGACGCUGAGGUGCGAAAGCGUGGGGAGCAAACAGGAUUAGAUACCCUAGUAGUCC